CUUGGUCAUUUAGAGGAAGUAAAAGUCGUAACAAGGUUUCCGUAGGUGAACCUGCGGAAGGAUCACUAAAGUAAACGCCCUCCGGGGCUCUCUUUAUUCACACACCCCUGUGCACUUUGGCCACCUGCCGCGCUUCACUGCGUUAGUAGGUGUGUCUUUAUAAUUAUACCCAUAUACACAAGUCAUUGAAUGUAAAAUCGUUAUAAACUAAUAUAACUUUCAACAACGGAUCUCUUGGUUCUCGCAUCGAUGAAGAACGCAGCGAAUUGCGAUAAGUAAUGUGAAUUGCAGAAUUCAGUGAAUCAUCGAAUCUUUGAACGCAUCUUGCGCCCUUUGGUAUUCCGAAGAGCAUGCCUGUUUGAGUGUCAUGAAACUCUCACCUCCAGCCUUCUUUAAUUAGAGGUGUUGGGGCGUGGACGUGAGUGCUGCUGGUGCCCUGGUUGCAUCGGCUCACUUGAAAUAUGUUAGCUGACUCCUCUAGAGGUGGUUCUACUCGACGUGAUAAGAUCUCCGUCGAGGACAGUGCAACUUGUUGUGCUGGCCGCUCCUAGCAGUUGACGUCGCUUCUAAUUAGCGCAGACUUCGAGUGCUGGCAACUUUUGACAACUUGGCCUCAAAUCAGGUAGGACUACCCACUGAACUUAAGCAUAUCAAUAAGUGGAGGAAAAGAAACUAACAAGGAUUCCCCUAGUAACGGCGAGUGAAGCGGGAAGAGCUCAAAUUUAAAAUCUGGCAGGCUACGCUUGUCCGAAUUGUAAUCUCGAGAAGUGUUUUCCGCGUUGGCCUGUGUACAAGUCCCUUGGAACAGGGCGUCAUAGAGGGUGAGAAUCCCGUCCUUGACACAGACACCCAAUGCUUUGUGAUACACUCUCAAUGAGUCGAGUUGUUUGGGAAU
Molecule: small RNA, 895 nt
Filed under: uncultured Cystofilobasidium
Lineage: Eukaryota; Fungi; Basidiomycota; Tremellomycetes; Cystofilobasidiales; Cystofilobasidiaceae
Description: eukaryotic LSU rRNA
Rfam family: Eukaryotic large subunit ribosomal RNA (bases 609-895)
Source: RNAcentral